UACGUAGGGUGCAAGCGUUGUCCGGAAUUAUUGGGCGUAAAGAGCUCGUAGGCGGUUUGUCGCGUCUGCUGUGAAAACCCGAGGCUCAACCUCGGGCCUGCAGUGGGUACGGGCAGACUAGAGUGCGGUAGGGGAGACUGGAAUUCCUGGUGUAGCGGUGAAAUGCGCAGAUAUCAGGAGGAACACCGGUGGCGAAGGCGGGUCUCUGGGCCGUAACUGACGCUGAGGAGCGAAAGCGUGGGGAGCAAACAGG
RNAcentral lists this ribosomal RNA (253 nucleotides) under uncultured bacterium. RNAcentral's name for it is "partial 16S ribosomal RNA". It matches the Rfam family "Bacterial small subunit ribosomal RNA", at positions 524 to 776 of the family's 1533-position model. The record is from RNAcentral.